Molecule: ribosomal RNA, 255 nt
Filed under: Klebsiella pneumoniae
Lineage: Bacteria; Pseudomonadati; Pseudomonadota; Gammaproteobacteria; Enterobacterales; Enterobacteriaceae
Description: partial 16S ribosomal RNA
Rfam family: Bacterial small subunit ribosomal RNA
Source: RNAcentral
CAUGCAAGUCGAGCGGUAGCACAGAGAGCUUGCUCUCGGGUGACGAGCGGCGGACGGGUGAGUAAUGUCUGGGAAACUGCCUGAUGGAGGGGGAUAACUACUGGAAACGGUAGCUAAUACCGCAUAAUGUCGCAAGACCAAAGUGGGGGACCUUCGGGCCUCAUGCCAUCAGAUGUGCCCAGAUGGGAUUAGCUAGUAGGUGGGGUAACGGCUCACCUAGGCGACGAUCCCUAGCGGGUCUGAGAGGAUGACCAG